UUUACACAUGCCGGUUGAUUUAGAUAACUCCUCUACAGUUUCCGGCGAUGCGAGCGUCUCAUCGACCGGAAACCAAAAUCAAACUCCCAAAUCCGUUGGGAAGAAGAAACGGAAUCUUCCUGGAAUGCCUGAUCCAGACGCGGAAGUGAUAGCUUUGUCACCCAAAACACUUAUGGC
Molecule: non-coding RNA, 177 nt
Organism: Camelina sativa (false flax)
Lineage: Eukaryota; Viridiplantae; Streptophyta; Magnoliopsida; Brassicales; Brassicaceae
Source: RefSeq, a predicted model, not a curated record